Molecule: ribosomal RNA, 199 nt
Filed under: Vibrio sp.
Lineage: Bacteria; Pseudomonadati; Pseudomonadota; Gammaproteobacteria; Vibrionales; Vibrionaceae
Description: 16S ribosomal RNA
Rfam family: Bacterial small subunit ribosomal RNA
Source: RNAcentral
ACUCCUACGGGAGGCAGCAGUGGGGAAUAUUGCACAAUGGGCGCAAGCCUGAUGCAGCCAUGCCGCGUGUGUGAAGAAGGCCUUCGGGUUGUAAAGCACUUUCAGUCGUGAGGAAGGUUUAUGCGUUAAUAGCGUAUAGAUUUGACGUUAGCGACAGAAGAAGCACCGGCUAACUCCGUGCCAGCAGCCGCGGUAAUAC